GAUUAGAUACCCUGGUAGUCCACGCCGUAAACGAUGAGUGCUAAGUGUUGGAGGGUUUCCGCCCUUCAGUGCUGCAGCUAACGCAUUAAGCACUCCGCCUGGGGAGUACGACCGCAAGGUUGAAACUCAAAGGAAUUGACGGGGGCCCGCCCAAGCGGUGGAGCAUGUGGUUUAAUUCGAAGCAACGCGAAGAACCUUACCAGGUCUUGACAUCCUUUGACCACUCUAGAGAUAGAGCUUCCCCUUCGGGGGCAAAGUGACAGGUGGUGCAUGGUUGUCGUCAGCUCGUGUCGUGAGAUGUUGGGUUAAGUCCCGCAACGAGCGCAACCCUUAUUGUUAGUUGCCAUCAUUCAGUUGGGCACUCUAGCAAGACUGCCGGUGACAAACCGGAGGAAGGUGGGGAUGACGUCAAAUCAUCAUGCCCCUUAUGACCUGGGCUACACACGUGCUACAAUGGGAAGUACAACGAGUUGCGAAGUCGCGAGGCUAAGCUAAUCUCUUAAAGCUUCUCUCAGUUCGGAUUGCAGGCUGCAACUCGCCUGCAUGAAGCCGGAAUCGCUAGUAAUCGCGGAUCAGCACGCCGCGGUGAAUACGUUCCCGGGCCUUGUACACACCGCCCGUCACACCACGAGAGUUUGUAACACCCGAAGUCGGUGAGGUAACCUUUUGGAGCCAGCCGCCUAAGGUGGGAUAGAUGAUUGGGGUGAAGUCGUAACAAGGUAGCCGUAUCGGAAGGUGCGGCUG
Molecule: ribosomal RNA, 744 nt
Filed under: human gut metagenome
Description: bacterial SSU rRNA
Rfam family: Bacterial small subunit ribosomal RNA
Source: RNAcentral